GGGGGGGGGGGGGGGGGGGGGGGGGGGAGGGGAGGGGGGCGGGAAGGGCGGGCGGGGGGGGGGUGGGGGAGGGGCGGAGGGGGGAGGAACACGGGGGGAACGUGGCCUUGACGGGGGGAGAGCGUAAGGGAGCUGGGGCGAAUACCGGAUAGGAGAUCCUGCGUCGUUGUGGUGGUGGGAUAGUGUCGGGGGUGGGGGAUGGACUCACGGCUGCUCAGCUUGUUGGUGGGGUAGUGGCUUACCAAGGCUUUGACGGGUAGCCGGCCUGAGAGGGUGACCGGCCACAUUGGGACUGAGAUACGGCCCAGACUCCUACGGGAGGCAGCAGUGGGGAAUAUUGCACAAUGGGCGGAAGCCUGAUGCAGCAACGCCGCGUGCGGGAUGACGGCCUUCGGGUUGUAAACCGCUUUCGCCUGUGACGAAGCGUGAGUGACGGUAAUGGGUAAAGAAGCACCGGCUAACUACGUG
RNAcentral lists this ribosomal RNA (468 nucleotides) under uncultured bacterium. RNAcentral's name for it is "partial 16S ribosomal RNA". The stretch from base 52 to 468 matches the Rfam family "Bacterial small subunit ribosomal RNA", at positions 39 to 507 of the family's 1533-position model. The record is from RNAcentral.